This 74-nucleotide transfer RNA is filed under the name Candidatus Puniceispirillum sp. TMED52. Its description in RNAcentral is "tRNA-Asn". It matches the Rfam family "tRNA". From Rfam's summary of the family: Transfer RNA (tRNA) molecules are approximately 80 nucleotides in length. Their secondary structure includes four short double-helical elements and three loops (D, anti-codon, and T loops). Further hydrogen bonds mediate the characteristic L-shaped molecular structure. tRNAs have two regions of fundamental functional importance: the anti-codon, which is responsible for specific mRNA codon recognition, and the 3' end, to which the tRNAs corresponding amino acid is attached (by aminoacyl-tRNA synthetases). tRNAs cope with the degeneracy of the genetic code in two manners: having more than one tRNA (with a specific anti-codon) for a particular amino acid; and 'wobble' base-pairing, i.e. permitting non-standard base-pairing at the 3rd anti-codon position. Lineage: Bacteria; Pseudomonadati; Pseudomonadota; Alphaproteobacteria; Puniceispirillales (SeqCode); Puniceispirillaceae (SeqCode). The record is from RNAcentral.
GCUUUCAUAGCUCAGUUGGUUAGAGCAACAGACUGUUAAUCUGGAGGUCAGAGGUUCGACUCCUCUUGAGAGCG